This 221-nucleotide long non-coding RNA is filed under the name Mytilus galloprovincialis (Mediterranean mussel). The record is from RNAcentral. Lineage: Eukaryota; Metazoa; Mollusca; Bivalvia; Mytilida; Mytilidae.
UGACGCCUUUUGACGCCACCCCCUUUACUCCAUAAUGACGCCUUUUGACGCCUGUGUAGUACCUCAGUUGAAAUGCUUUGACUCCAAAAUGUCUGCAUCAGACUUUAAAAAAAAUGUAUGCAAUAUAAAAAGGAGAUUCAUGAGAAUAUCUGACUUCAAUUUCAUUGAUGAAAUAUUCAUUUUCACAAUGCAUUAACACUUUAAACCUUAUGAUUUUUUUU